Non-coding RNA from Drosophila melanogaster (fruit fly), 354 nucleotides. NCBI's taxonomy places the organism in Eukaryota, Metazoa, Arthropoda, Insecta, Diptera, Drosophilidae. The record is from Ensembl.
GGACCCAUGACACGGUGCAUUUACUAUCCAUAAACAGACGACUCAAGUCGGUCCAAGUCGAGUAGCGCGAGCCUCGUCCUCGAUUCGGCCACGCAUUUCCAUUUCCCGUCCCGUUCAACAGAACAUCAGUCUAAUGCGAGACACACGCGUCUUCCCUUCCCAGGUAGGCCUUGAUUCGUCCGUGGAAAUCAGAGAAAUCAGAGGUGGAAAUGGAUGGAAAUGGCGGCGAAAGGGAUUUUCGCUCUGUUUACCCAAAACAGACUUUCCUUUAGCCAACGCCCCCGUCUCACAAGAAAUUGAACUGUAAUGGCAGUAAUGUUUCGCAAAAGGAUUAAGAUGUUGAACUGCGAAUGU